CUACGGAGGGUCCAAGCGUUAUCCGGAAUCAUUGGGUUUAAAGGGUUCGUAGGCGGGUCAAUAAGUCAGAGGUGAAAUCUUGCAGCUUAACUGUAAAAUUGCCUUUGAUACUGUUGACCUUGAAUUACUGUGAAGUGGUUAGAAUAUGUAGUGUAGCGGUGAAAUGCUUAGAGAUUACAUAGAAUACCGAUUGCGAAGGCAGAUCACUAACAGUAUAUUGACGCUGAUGAACGAAAGCGUGGGUAGCGAACGGGAUUAGAAACCCUAGUAGUCC
Molecule: ribosomal RNA, 274 nt
Filed under: uncultured bacterium
Lineage: Bacteria
Description: partial 16S ribosomal RNA
Rfam family: Bacterial small subunit ribosomal RNA
Source: RNAcentral